Molecule: long non-coding RNA, 574 nt
Filed under: Homo sapiens (human)
Lineage: Eukaryota; Metazoa; Chordata; Mammalia; Primates; Hominidae
Description: HSALNT0264500
Source: RNAcentral
GUUCACAAAUCUUUACUUGUGAAAAUAAACAGAAAUGAGUACAAGGAAGAAGAUUCAGAAGAAAGAGACCAUGGAGAAGAUAGUGAUACUUAUAAAGAUGAUGAUGAGGAUGAUGAGCUGGAGGCUUCUGGCUGGGACUUACAUGAAGAGGCUAAUUUAGUGCCACAAAUGACUCCAUCUCUCUGCCUUCAAGUAAAAGAAGCAGAAUCACCUCUGCAAGAAAACAAAAUAAUUCUGCAUCACCUUGGUGGUGAUCCUGCCAUCCUGCAGUGAUGGAGAUUUUGCUCUCAUUGAGUCUGUCUGGAUUAUUUCUGGUUCAUGGACAAUCUGGUUUAUUCCUGUCUUCAUAUCAUCUGGACCUCUUUCCUGGUGGUAAGUGCUGAGGAGAUGCUGUCAUUGUGUUCUGGGUUGGAUGUCUUUGGAAAUCUGGGAAUAUUCUGACAAAUUUCUUCCUUCUCGACCCUUAAUGAUCCAAUCAACUAUAGGCCAGUCUGGAUGGCAUGGAUGAGAAGGUUGCCUGAGUCAUAUUCUAUACUUCUAACACAAUUGUCACCCUCAAGUUGACUAGUUUGCA